GCUUCCUCAGAGCAGGGUCCAGCUCUCUAGUCUGCACACAGAUACAGCCUGAGGAGAAGUCCACACUGCCAGUAUGGUUCAUCUGCCCACUAGCUCUGUCUGAGAGAGGGGGGGAGAGAAAAAGAUGGGGGGUUCAGCAAAAGAGAGCAACAUAUAAAAUAUUAUGGGAGAAAUAGAGUGAAAGAAAGACAGAGAGAUGGGAGAAGAGGAGACAAGGGAGAGUAAGAAAGAGAAGAGGACUGGCUUGUCUGAAACUGAGUGAGCUUAUUAUAAUGUAAAUGUAA
This is a long non-coding RNA of Oncorhynchus nerka (sockeye salmon), 284 nucleotides long. RefSeq lists it as uncharacterized. Lineage: Eukaryota; Metazoa; Chordata; Actinopteri; Salmoniformes; Salmonidae. The record is from RefSeq and is a predicted model, not a curated record. The transcript is spliced from 2 exons.